Molecule: non-coding RNA, 573 nt
Organism: Paramisgurnus dabryanus
Lineage: Eukaryota; Metazoa; Chordata; Actinopteri; Cypriniformes; Cobitidae
Source: RefSeq, a predicted model, not a curated record
UACAAAUCAUACCUGAAUUCACAAGUUAAUGACAUUCCAAGAACUACAGCUUAUCGCAUUAAAAAGCUGGGUACACAGCAUAAAGAGGUAAUGUUUUUUCAAUUACACUAUUAUUAAGUUAAAUGUAUUUUCCUGAAUUGUUUUGUAUCAAGAUCUGCCAAAAAUGUUAUAUAUUAUUUUACCUGCUGUAUAAGAAUUACAGCAUGCUUGUAUUGUCUGUGACAUACAGGGUGUGAAACAUCUUUUUUUCUUUCUUUACAGAACAUACAUCCACAUGGUUACAAAAACUAUGUGUGCUUUAAUGGUUCUGAAUUACCAAAAACAACUGAAUACAGGAGAAGGAAAACACUGUUCUCCAUUAAUUUGAAUAACAAUGAGGCCACCAAGGAAAAUGAUAGUGUCCACUAUACUCAGUGUCCAAUACCAGCAAAGAGAUACAAAAUGGAUAACCAAGUGCAGAAAGUGGUUGAGUGGAGUGUUAAUGAUGAGAAUUAUGAUGAAAGAAGGCUGUCUUUUGAGGAAAACCUGUGCCAGUCUCCUGAGAGGCAUAAUGAAGAAGCAAACGUACAUCAG